RNAcentral lists this ribosomal RNA (459 nucleotides) under uncultured bacterium. Its description in RNAcentral is "partial 16S ribosomal RNA". It matches the Rfam family "Bacterial small subunit ribosomal RNA", at positions 338 to 795 of the family's 1533-position model. The record is from RNAcentral.
CCUACGGGAGGCAGCAGUGAGGAAUAUUGGUCAAUGGCCGGGAGGCUGAACCAGCCAAGUCGCGUGAGGGAAGACGGCCCUACGGGUUGUAAACCUCUUUUGUCAGGGAGCAAGGUGCAGGUCGGGACCUGCUGUGAGAGUACCUGAAGAAAAAGCAUCGGCUAACUCCGUGCCAGCAGCCGCGGUACUACGGGGGAUGCGAGCGUUAUCCGGUUUUAUUGGGUUUAAAGGGUGCGCAGGCGGAGGCACAAGUCAGCGGUAAAAUCGCGGGGCUCAACCCCGCUCCGCCGUUGAAACUGUUGCCCUUGAGUGCGCGAAGGGUAGGCGGAAUGCGUGGUGUAGCGGUGAAAUGCAUAGAUAUCACGCAGAACUCCGAUCGCGAAGGCAGCCUACCGGCGCGCAACUGACGCUCAUGCACGAAAGCGUGGGUAUCGAACAGGAUUAGAUACCCUAGUAGUC